GCCAGGGGAAAGUUAAACGAAAACAAAGAGGACGAGAUUAGGUACAGCGAGCAGCUGGGAUUUUUUUGUGCACGGACAGUGUCAGUUUCGUUUUGUUUCGUGGACUCACUCUGGGAGGACCGCGGGACUUGAAAUUGAAACGAGGACUCAUAUUGGAUCAGUACAGUUGAGGGUGUGGAUUGCGAGCUCCUGGCAGCGGACAGUUCCAGUCUGUGAGCGGCAGCACCUGCUCUGAAUUCUGGAUACUCGCUGGGUCUGCGCAGCAGAGCGGGGACCGGACGGACAGCGUGUGGGAGCAGUGAACUCCAACCUGUGAGACGGCAGCAUAUCACCGCGGGGCUCGGGGCAGAGUAAGGAGAGAGACGUGGGUCAAGCCAGUGCCGGCAGGUUUUCCCUGGGAUCUCUCCUGAGGCCUUCAGCUGAAGCUCAGUGCCCUAUUGGGAGGGUUGCCCAAACAGGCGUCGGGACAGGGGCCCAAGAGGAGGUCUGGACCAGGGAGUGGACGACGUAUGGUCAUCCGGUCACGCCUUGGACUAUCAGUUUGGGAGUGAGGGGUUGGGGUGUAUAAUUGCCUUUUUGUGUAUUUGGUUGCAUUAUUCAGGCUUCUCCUUGUGAGAGCUGGAGAAAACAGAUUGUUAUAUUGAGAAAUGAUCUAGCCUAAAUAGAGAAUAAAGCAACUUUUAAAAAUCUAAAAUACUUACCUGUGCUGUGUGUGUGAA
Long non-coding RNA from Acipenser ruthenus (sterlet), 719 nucleotides. RefSeq lists it as uncharacterized. The transcript has 3 exons. Lineage: Eukaryota; Metazoa; Chordata; Actinopteri; Acipenseriformes; Acipenseridae. The record is from RefSeq and is a predicted model, not a curated record.